GGAGCACAUGUACUGAGGUUCAUGCCUUGACGCAGAGGACCAGGGUUUGAGUCCAACCUUUGAUGAUUUCCUGCAUGUCUCCCUCCUUCUCUCCCCUUUCUCACUUAGCUGUCCUGUC
Long non-coding RNA from Etheostoma cragini (Arkansas darter), 118 nucleotides. RefSeq lists it as uncharacterized. The transcript has 3 exons. The record is from RefSeq and is a predicted model, not a curated record. NCBI's taxonomy places the organism in Eukaryota, Metazoa, Chordata, Actinopteri, Perciformes, Percidae.